GCCGGAGAGUCUUCAACUGACGCUGACGCUCGAAAGUGCGGGUAUAGCACAGGAUUAGAUCCCCUUGUUGUCCGCACUAUAAACGAUGGAUUCCCGCUGGUGGCGACACACUGUCAGCGCACAAGAGAAAGCGAUAAGCAUCACACCGGGAGAGUACGCGGGGCAACGGUGAAACUCAAAGGAAUUGACGGGGGCCCGCACAAGCGGAAGAACAUGUGGUUUAAUUCGAUGAUACGCGAGGAACCUUACCCGCUCUUGAACUGCAGCAGAACGAUAGAGAGAUCUUGAGGCCCUUCGGGGCUGCUGUGGAGGUGCUGCAUGGUGGUCGUCAGCUCGUGCCUUGAGGUGUCGGCUUAAGUGCCAUAACGAGCCAAACCCCUUCCUUCAGUUGCCUUCACUUUGGGUGGGCACUCUGGCGGUACUGCCACCGUAAGGUGUGAGGAAGGUGGGGAUGACGUCAAAUCAGCACGGCCCUUACGUCCGGGGCGACACACGUGUUACAAUGGCUGGUACAGAGAGUCACUCGCCGGCAACGUCGGUUUGAUCAAGAAAACCCUCCUCAGUUCGGACUGGGGUCUGCAACUCGACCCCAUGAAGCUG
This 600-nucleotide ribosomal RNA is filed under the name uncultured bacterium. RNAcentral describes it as "bacterial SSU rRNA". It matches the Rfam family "Bacterial small subunit ribosomal RNA", at positions 724 to 1328 of the family's 1533-position model. The record is from RNAcentral.